Gopherus flavomarginatus (Mexican gopher tortoise) is the source of this 11735-nucleotide RNA transcript. It is a transcript of the gene named Dmx like 2, with no coding region annotated. The transcript is spliced from 46 exons. The record is from RefSeq and is a predicted model, not a curated record. NCBI's taxonomy places the organism in Eukaryota, Metazoa, Chordata, Testudines, Testudinidae.
UGUGGGUGUUAAGUAAACAGAUCAUUCAGAGUGACUAGGGCUCCAUAACAGGUGAAAAGCUGGCAGACAUAAAGAUAGUCAUUUCCUACCAGAGACAAGCAAGCCAUUUUCUGAUAACAUUUUCUUGGACAGACCAUGUGGCAUGUGCGUUUUGUGUUGUGCAAUAUAUUAUACAAGAUCCUUGAAGUAAGCUUUUGUUUGUUGUUUUACACUAUGCUAAUAAAGUAUACUUAUUUGAACUCAGAAAAUCCCAAAAGUCAGAUACUUGGAGUAUGUAAUCAAUAGAAGCUUCACUUUUAAAAACAGUAAAAGAAAAUAAUCUAUACUUACCCCCAUACAAAUUAAAUAAUAAAUAAAUCUGAAUAAAAACAAUUGUUGGCCUUUGUCCAAAAGUCAUCUGAGGUAUUAAAAAAAUUGAAAGGAGAAAUCAAUUUAGAAUUUAAUUCUUGCGGUAAUUAUUUUGCAGUAUUUGUUUUUACUCCAUUUUUUUUAAUCCAAGGAAAUUUACAGCUUUUCAAUUAGCUAUUCUUUUGUCUGUCCCCCCCCCAUAACUGUAACUCUCUGAAAAGAAUGGAGAUCAGCUGUACAUUUUAGUGUCUGUGUUUGCUUUAAAAAAUCAACAGUAGUAGAAUUAUGUAAUGAAGGGUAAAUUUUUUGACUGUCUUGAUGCACUACUUUCAUUUCUAAAAAGAACCGUGGGUAGUCCUAUCUACAGUGACCACAUUGCCAUUUUAGAAACAGAGCACAAAUCUUUGAAUAUGGUCUUAGAGAGAAAUGGUAAACAAUUAAGGGAAGCUUCUUUUAAAAAAUCAUGCAAGAGAAGAAUACCAUUAUUUUCCCUUGAAAACAGAAUAGAAAAUUCUGCUUUAAUAAGAUUAAUUUUAUCCAUUUUUAUAUUAGACUGAAUUUAUACACAGGUAUCUGUAUUUCACACUUAUAAUACAAAGCUAUAUAAUUCACAGGUGUGGAAGCACUUCCAUUCCUCUCACUGACAUGUUCUGAUAAUUCACAGGCAUGAUAUCAGGCAUAUUCUGCUGAUAAGUGUUCUGGGGCUAGUCCUGCUGGAGAAGUAAAGGAGGGAAGAAUUGAUGUAAAAUAAGACACAUUUUGAAUUGAGAGAAUGUGGGACGGUCUGUAAUUUCAUCCUAAGGAGUUUGGUGACCACACAAGAAGAAAAAUUCGAGUGGCUGUUUGUAGUUUGACAUCACCAAAAUGAUAGACUUGCAGUUAUGUAAUUCACAAUUAGUUGUUUAUGAUUAUACUUAGCCUAUAAAGGGGCCAUAUUAAAUUGUUGAAUGCAAAUCGCUUGUCUGUUUUGCCAGUUUUACUUAUACAAUGUAAUUUGUUAUAAAACAAUGAACAUUGGUUAUGAAAUGAUGUAGCAAGGUACAGGAUGUUAUAGUUCAGUAUUCUUGUACUUUUUUUUUACAUCUGUAGUAUAGAAGAUGCAAAAUCAUUGACAUAAUUACAAAACAGGAAGUGGUGUGUGUAUGCCUCUGUUUAGAAAGUACAAAUAUAUUACUGUUGCUUGUUAUUAUAGUUUCAGUGAGAAAGGAAUUAAGAGGUUUCUAUACUAUGUUCAAUUCUAAUAUUUAAUUUUAUUCAGAUGCAUGUUUAUGUAUUAAACAGGAAGAAAGCAAGAAAGAUGAAAUAUACCAUUAGUUUAAUUUACAUUUGUCAUACAGUAUGACUUCAUUGGUUGGGUCUGAAGGAGUACUAUUUUAAAAGUUUGUAGGUCUUGAUACUGCUUCCAUUGAAGUCAAUGGCAAAACUCCCAUUGAAUUCUGUGGUGCAGAAUCAGAGCCUAAUUGAACCAUCCCAGAUCAACCUGUACUGCUGAGCUGUACUCAAUUGUAGGUCUGAUGGCUCUGAUUUACAUAUGGUUUUCUUUGCCCACCCUCUACUGGACAUUCGUGCAGUUGAGGAUUACUAUGGUGUAGGCAUACCCUCACCAGCUCCCUUUGCUCUUCCAUGCUUCCUGCACCAAUGUGGAGGGGUUGCAUAAUAACAGUUACUGUGACUCUAUACCACCUUGGCUUAGAGAAUAUUCAGGUGGCUGGUUGAGCCAGCUGGAUCAGCACAAAGCAUCUGUAGUAAGGAUGAGGAGCAAACUGUUACUCCUGGGGGAAUUCUGCACCACUACACAUGCACAGAAUUUAUGUCCCCCACAGAUUUUUGUUUCCCCGCAGAAAAAUGACUUUCUGACAGCGAAGCAAAGGGAAUCCACAAGAGCGGUCAUGAGACCCUCCCCAGCAGUAUGUUUUGGGUGUCUGGGGCAGCCAGCAGAGAGGCAUAUGGCUCAGGCUGUGAUAUUGUUAUUCUGGCAAACGACUUUGAAUGUGUGCAGAUUAUUCCUGGUGCUAAACAUGGAAAUAUCCAAGUCAGCUGUGUGGAGUGCUCCCAACAGCAAGGCAGGAUUGCAGCAUCAUAUGGAAAUGCUAUUUGUAUUUUUGAACCUCUUGGUAUAAAUUCUCACAAAAGAAAUUGUCAACUGAAGUGUCAGUGGCUUAAAUCGGGGCAAUUUUUCCUUAGUUCUAUGACUUACAACUUAGCAUGGGAUCCUCAAGGUAACAGGCUCCUGACAGCAACUGACAACUUGCAGUUGUGGGCCCCUCCAUGUAGUGACAUUCUAGAAGAAGAGGAGGAAGAAGAUGAUGAUCUUGACAGUCAGAUCAAAGAUGAUAAAGUUCUCCCAGUUCUAAAUGACUGGAAAUGUGUCUGGCAGUGCAAGACUGCAGUAUCUGUACAUCUGAUGGAGUGGUCUCCUGAUGGUGAAUACUUUGCAACAGCUGGAAAGGAUGAUUGUCUCUUAAAGGUAUGGUAUCCAAUGACUGGGUGGAAGUCAUCUCUUCUACCACGGGAGAGUGAAGAAAAGAAAAAAAGCUCAGCACUUGUUCACUUUUCCUUUGUUUAUUUGGCACAUCCUCGAGCGGUGACAGGAUUUUCAUGGCGUAACACUAGCAAGUACAUGCCCAGGGGGUCUGUCUGUAAUGUGUUACUUACUUCAUGCCAUGAUGGUAUCUGUCGGCUGUGGGCAGAGACUUUAUUACCAGAGGAUAGUCUUCUGGGUGAGCAGAUCUGUGAGACUAGCACUUCCAGCAGUAGCAGCAGCCUGUUGCAUUCUGGAAGGCGAAAAGACAGAAUACAGCAUGCUCUAGAGACACUUCACCACUUGAAAAAUAUGAGAAAAGGACAAAGAAGAUCUUCAGUUCUUAUUACCCACACAGAUUUAUUGCCUGAUCAACAGGGCUCGCAUGAAGUUCGUCAUCAUAUUUCACAUCAUGCUAAUACACUCUGUCACUUUCAUAUAGCAGCAAGCAUCAACCCUACCACAGAUAUUCCGUCAGUGUUAGCUGGGACAGCUUUUAAUGUAGACGAAGGAAAUGGAGGCUUUGUGGUUCAUUGGCUGAAUAAUAAAGAAUUUAAUUUUACAUCCUCAAUUGAAGUAUUUCUGCAGCAGUUAAGAAAACUUGCUGAACAACAACCAGAACAAGAUGCUGUUGAUGCUGAUGGUGAAGAGGAGGACGAGGAAAUGGAGGAGAAAGAGAGAGGCUUACAUAUGAAACUAGAUCAUGAAUUAUCUAUAGAUAGAGAAUCUGAGACAGGAACAGGUACAGGCUCUUCAGAACAUGAAGAUGGAGGCAGAGAGGGGAGCCCCAAAACAUCUCCAUCAGCCAGCCUGUGUAUGGCACUUCCUACAGUUCUGUUAGAUCGGAAAAUUGAAAUGCUUCUUACUGAAUGGAAUAGGAAUCCAGACAUGCUUUUUACUAUCCACCCCAUUGAUGGUACCUUUUUAGUGUGGCAUGUGAAAUAUUUGGAUGAGUACAAUCCAGGAGUCUUUAGACAAGUUCAGGUUUCAUUUUCUUCUCGGAUUCCUGUUGCAUUUCCAUCAGGAGAUGCCAGCUCUCUUAGUAAAAACAUUAUGAUGUAUGCUUGCACUACCUCUACAAAAGAUGGCAGUAGCGCUGUGCAUCAGAAGACAACUAACAUUCCAGAUAGCACUCUAGGAAUUAAUGGACCAAGCUCUUCCCAGGGUAGCCCAAAUGUGAAUAUAUUGGCUCCUAUCGUAAUGAUGGUUUCCAAACAUAUAGAUGGAUCCCUAAACCAGUGGGCAGUUACUUUUGCUGAUAAAUCUGCUUUUACCACUGUGCUUACUGUAUCACAUAAAUUUAGGUACUGUGGUCACCGAUUUCAUCUCAAUGACCUGGCUUGCCAUUCUGUUUUACCUUUGUUAUUAACAUCUUCUCAUCAUAAUGCUCUGUUAACUCCCGAAUCAGAUCAUCCACGGGACUGUGAUAGAUUAAGCAAACUAAUGGAUCCUAUUAAACAUUUAAAAGGUUCUUCUAGGCAACAUCUGAGAAAUGCAGCAACUUGUACAUUCCAUGACCCAAAUGCAAUCUACAGUGAGCUGAUUCUGUGGCGUGUAGACCCCAUUGGACCUUUGUCAUACACUGGAGGAGUAUCUGAAUUGGCUCGAAUUAACUCACUUCACAUCUCUGCCUUCUCUAACGUGGCCUGGCUUCCAACUCUUAUUCCCAGCUAUUGUCUUGGUACAUACUGCAAUUCUGCUAGUGCUUGCUUUGUAGCAUCUGAUGGCAAAAACCUGAGGCUGUAUCAAGCAGUGGUAGAUGCACGAAAACUGCUAGAUGAAUUGUCUGACCCUGAAUGUUCUAAACUCAUUGAGGAAGUGUUUAACAUUGUGAGCCAACAAUCUACUGCUCGACCAGGAUGCAUUAUUGAACUUGAUGCAAUAACUAACCAAUGUGGCUCAAAUACACAGUUGCUUCAUGUUUUUCAAGAAGAUUUCAUUUUGGGAUACAAACCACAUAAGGAAGAUGUGGAAGGGAAGGAAACAGAAACAUUUUUCAAACCAUCACAAGGUCAUCGUCCACCACCUUUCUCAGAAAAAUUCUAUCUUGUAGUAAUUGAAAAAGAUAGGAAUGGCUGCUCAGUUCUUCAUAUGUGGCAUCUUCAUCUUAAAUCUGUGCAAGCAUUUUUAGCAAAAAAACCUGAAGUUACUUCAUCAGAGAAUCAACUUUGUGUACCUGAACAAAAGACUGUGGAGUCUUCUCCGGAUACCUCACCUGGCUCAACUCCUAUGCCACGUUCUUCAUCAAUUGCUAAUCUUCAGACUGCCAGUAAACUCAUUUUGAGUUCUAGACUUGUAUAUAGCUAUCCACUAGAUCUUCCAACUGGUGUAGAAGUAAUAAGAGCAACCCCUUCAGCAGGUCACCUGAGCUCAUCAUCAAUAUACCCAGUCUGCCUUGCGCCUUAUUUGAUAGUAACGUCCUGUUCAGACAACACAGUGCGGUUCUGGAAAUGCACUGUAGAGACGGAUCUAAAUAAUGGAAAUGAAGUGAGGGAGACAUAUCAUUGGAGAAAAUGGCCUUUAAUGAAUGAUGAGGGGGAGGACAACAGCAGUACAGUACGCGUAAUAGGAAGGCCAGUUGCUGUUAGCUGUUCUUACACAGGACGUCUUGCUGUGGCAUACAAACAACCUGUACAGAAUAACGGUUUUGUUUCCAAAGAAUUUUCUAUGCAUGUUUGUAUAUUUGAAUGUGAGUCUACAGGAGGAUCAGAAUGGGUUUUGGAACAGACUGUUCAUCUGGAUGACUUAGUUAAGGUUGGGAGUGUACUUGAUUCAAGGGUCAGUGUAGAUAGUAAUUUGUUUGUAUAUAGUAAAUCAGAUGUAUUUUUAAACAAAGACAAAUACUUUAUGCCCAAUAUCAAGCAUUUGGUACAUUUGGACUGGGUAUCAAAAGAAGAUGGCUCACAUAUACUUACAGUUGGAGUGGGUGCCAAUAUAUUUAUGUAUGGACGACUGUCAGGAAUUCUAACAGAGCAAACAAGCAGUAAGGAUGGAGUAGCUAUUAUUACUUUACCACUAGGUGGUAGCAUAAAACAAGGUAUAAAGUCCAAAUGGGUACUGCUGAGAUCUAUUGAUUUGGUGUCCUCUGUAGAUGGCACUCCUUCAUUGCCAGUUUCUCUCUCUUGGGUACGAGAUGGUAUACUGGUAGUGGGAAUGGACUGUGAAAUGCAUGUGUAUGCACAAUGGAAACAUGCUGUUAAAUUUGGUGAUGGCAAAAGUGAUGUUUUUACUACUGAAGACUCAGUAACUCAAGAUCUACUAAAAACAAGUUUGCUAGCAAAGAAGACCAGUAUAAUUGAUGGAGCAGGUAUCGUAGAUGAUGUCUUUGGCACUCCAACUGUAAUUCAAGAUGGAGGCCUUUUUGAAGCUGCUCAUGUCCUUUCCCCUACUCUUCCACAGUAUCAUCCAACCCAGCUAUUAGAAUUGAUGGACUUAGGUAAAGUUCGCCGAGCUAAAGCCAUUCUGUCCCAUUUAGUUAAAUGUAUUGCAGGAGAAGUUGCAAUAGUUAGAGAUGCAGAAGCUGGGGAAUGUGGUGGACCUAAACGUCAUCUUUCUCGUACCAUUAGUGUAAGUGGUAGUACCGCAAAGGACACAAUCACUGCUGGAAAAGAUGGUACUCGAGACUAUACUGAGAUAGAUUCUAUUCCACCACUGCCAUUGUAUGCAUUGCUUGCUGCAGAUCAAGAUACCACAUACAAAAUUUCUGAAGAAACUUCUAAAGUACCUAAGGGGUUUGAAGAUCACACUAAAAGAAAAACAGAGGAUCAAUACUCAAAUUUAUUCCAGAUGCAGCCUGUUACAACUGAUGACUUCAUUGAUUUUGAGAUGGAAAAGAGAGAGAGUAAAUCCAAAGUAAUUAACCUAUCUCAGUACGGGCCAUCCUACUUUGGCCGAGAACACGCUAGUGUCCUCUCAAGUCAUCUUAUGCACUCAAGUUUGCCAGGCCUCACUCGUUUGGAGCAGAUGUUCCUGGUUGCUUUGGCAGACACUGUGGCUACAACAAGCACUGAACUUGAUGAGAACAGAGAUAAGACUUACUCAGGGAGAGACACAUUAGAUGAAUGUGGCUUGCGGUAUUUGUUGGCUAUGCGCUUGCAUACAUGCCUUCUGACAUCACUCCCACCUUUAUAUCGAGGUCAGCUGCUUCAUCAAGGUGUAUCUACCUGCCAUUUUGCCUGGGCUUUUCAUUCUGAGGCUGAGGAAGAGUUGAUCAACAUGAUUCCUGCUAUCCAGAGAGGAGAUCCACAGUGGUCGGAACUAAGAGCAAUGGGUAUAGGUUGGUGGGUCAGGAAUAUUAACACACUCCGAAGGUGCAUUGAGAAGGUUGCAAAAGCUGCUUUUCAGAGGAACAAUGAUGCCUUGGAUGCUGCAAUUUUUUACCUUGCUAUGAAGAAAAAAGCAGUGGUGUGGGGUCUGUUUAGGUCUCAGUACGAUGAAAAGAUGACCACAUUUUUCAGCCAUAAUUUCAGUGAAGAUAGGUGGCGCAAAGCAGCUUUGAAGAAUGCUUUUGCUUUGUUGGGGAAACAACGCUUUGAACAGUCUGCUGCUUUUUUCUUACUAGCUGGUUCCCUGAAAGAUGCUAUAGAGGUGUGUCUUGAAAAAAUGGAUGAUAUUCAGCUGGCCAUGGUUAUUGCUCGUUUAUAUGAAUCAGAAUUUGAGACCUCCCUCACCUAUACAUCCAUUCUUUAUGAAAAAAUUUUGGGUUGCCAGAAAGAUGGAACUGGAUUCAGAUGUACUAAAUUACAUCCUGAUCCCUUCCUGCGAAAUCUUGCCUAUUGGAUAACGAAAGACUACACUAGAGCACUUGACACUUUAUUGGAACAAACACCUAAGGAAGAUGAUGAAAAUCCAGUUAUCAUCAAGUCCUGCAAUCCUGUGGUGUUUAGUUUUUACAACUACCUUCGGACUCACCCUUUGCUCCUCCGAAGACAUUUCAGCUCACCAGAAGGGACUCUGGCCACUUUAGGUAUAAAAACUGAGAAAAGUUUUGUUGAUAAAAUUAAUCUUGUAGAGAGAAAAUUAUUCUUCACCACUGCAAAUGCUCAUUUUAAAGUGGGAUGCCCUGUUUUGGCUCUUGAAGUUCUUUCCAAAAUUCCAAGAAUAAGUAAGUCGUCCAGCACUUCUACCAAAAAAGAUCAAUCCAGUUUAAGUCCCACUAGAAAAACUGGUGUGAUUCUAGAGUCAAACACUGUGAGUAUUGGUGUUGAAAGUAGUAAUCUAGACUGGUCAAAGCCAUUUUCAGCUUCAUCUGCUGUGGAAAGUAGCACUGGUUCUUCAGCACAAUUUGACUGGAGUCAGCCAGCAGUAAAAUUCGAUGAAGAGUCUCUUAUUCUUGACUGGGGUGAAGACAAAGAUGGCUCAGAGGAAGAGAAAGAUGAUGUUGGUUUAACAAUGAAAGGUUCAAAAUUGGACUCUAAAAAUGGAAAACUAGAUGAGAAGAGUACGCACACUGAUGUACUACAGACACCUCAAGGGGAAGAUUCUGAUGGAGGUGACACUGAGGUUGAUGUAAUUGCUGAACAACUCAAGUUCAGAGCCUGUUUGAAGAUCCUCAUGACCGAACUUAGGACUUUGGCUACGGGGUAUGAGGUAGAUGGAGGGAAGCUUAGAUUUCAACUGUACAAUUGGCUGGAAAAAGAAAUUGCUGCUAUGCAUGAAAUAUGUAACCAUGAAGCAGGUGGCAAAGACUAUUGUGAAACAUAUACUAAAGUAGAUGGUGACCUACUUGAUCAUGAAGAAAUUGUGGAUAAGCCAGAUAUUGGCUCAUAUGAACGUCACCAGAUAGAAAGACGUAGGUUGCAGGUGAAACGAGAGCAUGCUGAAAGACGAAAGUGGUGGCUGCAAAAGAAUCAAGCUCUCCUGAGAGUUUUCCUAAGUUACUGUAGCCUUCAUGGGGCACAAGGUGGUGGUCUAGCGUCUGUAAGAAUGGAACUCAAGUUUUUGUUGCAAGAGUCACAGCAGGAAACUACAGUAAAGCAACUUCAGUCUCCUCUUCCAUUACCCACAACACUUCCACUGCUUUCUGCAAGUAUUGCUUCAACAAAAACUGUAAUAGCCAACCCUGUGCUGUACUUAAAUAACCACAUCCAUGACAUUCUUUACACCAUAGUACAGAUGAAAUUUCCACCCCAUCCUAAUAUCGAAGAUGUAAAGGUGCAUACACUUCAUUCGUUAGCAGCUUCACUUUCUUCAUCUAUUUACCAAGCUUUAUGUGACAGCCACAGCUACAGCAGUCAAACAGAAACAAAUCAGUUUACAGGAAUGGUUUAUCAAGGACUGCUUUUGAGUGAUCGACGCAGACUGAGGACAGAAAGCAUCGAAGAACAUGCAACACCAAAUUCAACUCCUGCUCAAUGGCCAGGUGUGAGCUCACUUAUAAAUCUCUUAAAUUCAGCCCAGGAUGAGGACCAACCAAAGUUAAACAUUUUACUUUGUGAAGCUGUCAUAGCUGUUUACCUAAGUCUCCUGAUACAUGCCCUUGCUACUAAUUCUUGCAAUGAAUUGUUUCGGCUAGCAGCCCAUCCCCUGAACAGCCGAAUGUGGGCUGCUGUCUUUGGGGGAGGUGUGAAACUUGUUAUGAAACCCCGAAGACAAUCUGAAAAUAUUCCAGCACCUCCCGUUCCUUCAGAAGAAAUGGAUAAGCAUCGUCGUCGAUUUAAUAUGAGAAUGCUUGUACCAGGGAGACCAGUAAAAGAUAAUGUUGUACCUCCACCUGUGCCUGCAGAAAGGCCUUCUUACAAAGAAAAAUUCAUUCCUCCAGAACUCAGCAUGUGGGACUAUUUUAUGGCAAAGCCAUUUCUUCCUUUAUCAGAUAGUGGUGUUAUAUAUGAUUCUGAUGAAAGCAUUCACAGUGAUGAAGAGGACGAUAGUGCUUUCCUUUCUGACACACAGAUCCAGGAACACAAAGAUGCCAGUUCUUACAGCUGGGCUCUUAUACAUUUGGCGAUAGUAAAACUAGCUCUAUACAACAUUAAGAACUUUUUUCCCAUUGCUGGUUUGGAAUUCUUUGAUCUGCCUGUAACAUCACCAUUGGGUAUUGCUGUGAUUAAAAAUUUGGAAAACUGGGAACAGAUCCUUCAAGAAAGAAUGGAUCAGUUUGAAGGCCCACCACCGAACUACAUCAAUACUUAUCCCAGUGACCUUGGAGUGGGAGCUGGAUCAGCUGUUCUCCGCAACAAAGCAAUGCUUGAACCUGAAAACACACCAUUCAAAUCAAGGGAUUAUUCAGCACUUCCAGUUAAAAGACUAUGGCAUUUUCUUGUGAAACAAGAUCUUCUUCAGGAGACCUUCAUAAGAUAUAUAUUCACUAAGAAAAGAAAGCAAAGUGAGUCUGUAGAAGAUCGUGUGGAGCAGGUCAAACAAAACUGCGUAGCAGAAGAUCACAAAAACAAGGUUGAAGCAGAUCUCGGCUACCCAGGAGGAAAAGCAAAAAUAAUUCACAAAGAGUCUGAUAUGAUAAUGGCAUUUGCAGUUAAUAAGGCAAACAGCAGUGAAAUUGUUUUAGCGUCUACACACGAUGUGCAAGAACUUGAUGUUUCAGCUCUAUUGGCUGCUCAGUCAUUUAUAUGGAUUGGGGAAGAAUAUGACAGAGAAUCUAAAAGUUCAGAUGACCUUGACUUUCGUGGUUCUACCACAACACUCACUCAGUCAAGUGCACCAUCAUUUGGAGUGAAUCAGAUGCAGCCAUCUUCACCUAUGCCAUGGUUAGGUAGUGGACAAACUAGCACUGGAGCUGGUGUGCUCAUUAAAAGAAAUCUGAAUAAUGUCAAGAGAAUGGCUUCACAUCCAGUCCAUCAGUAUUAUCUCACAGGAGCCCAAGAUGGUAGCGUUCGAAUGUUUGAAUGGACAAGGCCACAGCAGCUGAUAUGCUUCCGACAAGCUGGCAAUGCAAGGGUUACUAGAAUGUAUUUCAAUUCCCAGGGCAAUAAGUGUGGCGUGGCUGAUGGAGAGGGAUUUUUAAGUAUUUGGCAAGUCAACCAAAUUGUAUCUAAUCCUAAACCGUAUCUGAGUUGGCAAUGUCACAGUAAAACCACAAGUGACUUUGCAUUCAUUACCUCUUCAAGUCUAGUGGCUACAUCCGGACAGUCCAACGAUAACAGAAACGUGUGCUUGUGGGACACUUUGGUAUCCCCCGGUAACAGUCUCAUUCACGCCUUCACUUGUCACGAUCAUGGUGCCACAGUACUUCAGUAUGCACCUAAGCAGCAACUGUUGAUUUCUGGAGGCAGGAAAGGAUGUGUCUGCAUCUUUGACAUCAGACAGAGACAAAUCCUUCAUACCUUCCAAGCGCAUGACUCUGCUAUUAAGGCUCUUUCACUGGAUCCUUCUGAAGAAUACUUUGCAACAGGCUCAGCAGAAGGUAACAUGAAGGUCUGGGGACUGACAGGCUACGGUUUAAUUCAUUCCUUUAAAAACGAACAUGCCAAACAGUCCAUAUUCAGAAAUAUUGGUGCUGGAGUCUUGCAGAUUGAAACUGUGCAAGACAAUCGCAUCUUCUCCUGUGGAGCAGAUGGCACACUGAAAAUGAGAGUUCUACCUAAUGCUUUCAGCAUCCCUACAGAUGUUGCUGCUCAAGGUGAUGGUCUACCUCAGAGGUUCUCAAACUGUGGUCCAUGGCCCACCAGUGGACUGCAAGGUCCAUUCAGGUGGUCCGCGGAUAGUUCCCUCUAAGGUGCACACCUGGGCAGCCGCACACGAGAGAACAAAGGCGCAGGCAUGGUCCUCUAAUUAGGUGCCUGGACCCUGGAGAAGACGCACAUGUAAGAAAUAUCAGAUCUUAACUUCCUUGUCUUUGCUGGAGAACUCUUCAUAAGGACUGUCUGCCCUGAGUAAAUGGGACUAUGCAUGCUUCAGUACUUCGAGAUGG